GGCCGCCUGGCGAAAUGGCAUCGCGUCUGACUACGACCUAGUUGUAAUCAGGAGAUUGCAGGUUCGACCCCUGCGGUGGUCA
This 82-nucleotide transfer RNA is filed under the name Sphagnurus paluster. RNAcentral describes it as "Tephrocybe palustris tRNA". It matches the Rfam family "tRNA". Rfam says of the family: Transfer RNA (tRNA) molecules are approximately 80 nucleotides in length. Their secondary structure includes four short double-helical elements and three loops (D, anti-codon, and T loops). Further hydrogen bonds mediate the characteristic L-shaped molecular structure. tRNAs have two regions of fundamental functional importance: the anti-codon, which is responsible for specific mRNA codon recognition, and the 3' end, to which the tRNAs corresponding amino acid is attached (by aminoacyl-tRNA synthetases). tRNAs cope with the degeneracy of the genetic code in two manners: having more than one tRNA (with a specific anti-codon) for a particular amino acid; and 'wobble' base-pairing, i.e. permitting non-standard base-pairing at the 3rd anti-codon position. The record is from Rfam by way of RNAcentral. Lineage: Eukaryota; Fungi; Basidiomycota; Agaricomycetes; Agaricales; Lyophyllaceae.